This 21-nucleotide non-coding RNA is filed under the name Caenorhabditis elegans. The record is from RNAcentral. Lineage: Eukaryota; Metazoa; Nematoda; Chromadorea; Rhabditida; Rhabditidae.
UAAUUGUGACUAAAUUUUUGA